Molecule: ribosomal RNA, 253 nt
Filed under: uncultured bacterium
Lineage: Bacteria
Description: partial 16S ribosomal RNA
Rfam family: Bacterial small subunit ribosomal RNA
Source: RNAcentral
UACGUAGGGUCCGAGCGUUGUCCGGAAUUAUUGGGCGUAAAGGGCUCGUAGGCGGCCAACUAAGUCAGACGUGAAAUCCCUCGGCUUAACCGGGGAACUGCAUCUGAUACUGGAUGGCUUGAGUUCGGGAGAGGGAUGCGGAAUUCCAGGUGUAGCGGUGAAAUGCGUAGAUAUCUGGAGGAACACCGGUGGCGAAGGCGGCAUCCUGGACCGAUACUGACGCUGAGGCGCGAAAGCCAGGGGAGCAAACGGG